Molecule: ribosomal RNA, 782 nt
Filed under: uncultured Bacteroidota bacterium
Lineage: Bacteria; Pseudomonadati; Bacteroidota
Description: bacterial SSU rRNA
Rfam family: Bacterial small subunit ribosomal RNA
Source: RNAcentral
AAGCGAGCGCAGGCGGUUUAAUAAGUCUGAAGUUAAAGGCAGUGGCUUAACCAUUGUUCGCUUUGGAAACUGUUAAACUUGAGUGCAGAAGGGGAGAGUGGAAUUCCAUGUGUAGCGGUGAAAUGCGUAGAUAUAUGGAGGAACACCGGUGGCGAAAGCGGCUCUCUGGUCUGUAACUGACGCUGAGGCUCGAAAGCGUGGGGAGCAAACAGGAUUAGAUACCCUGGUAGUCCGCACGGUAAACGAUGGAUGCCCGCUGUUGGUCUGAAUAGGUCAGCGGCCAAGCGAAAGCAUUAAGCAUCCCACCUGGGGAGUACGCCGGCAACGGUGAAACUCAAAGGAAUUGACGGGGGCCCGCACAAGCGGAGGAACAUGUGGUUUAAUUCGAUGAUACGCGAGGAACCUUACCCGGGCUUGAGUUGCGGAGGAAGGAUUUGGAGACAAUGACGCCCUUCGGGGCCUCUGUGAAGGUGCUGCAUGGUUGUCGUCAGCUCGUGCCGUGAGGUGUCGGCUUAAGUGCCAUAACGAGCGCAACCCCUCUCCUUAGUUGCCAUCAGGUCAUGCUGGGCACUCUGGGGACACUGCCACCGUAAGGUGUGAGGAAGGUGGGGAUGACGUCAAAUCAGCACGGCCCUUACGUCCGGGGCUACACACGUGUUACAAUGGCAGGUACAGAGAGACGGUCCCUUGCAAAAGGGAUCAAAUCCUCAAAGCCUGUCUCAGUUCGGACUGGGGUCUGCAACCCGACCCCACGAAGCUGGAUUCGCUAGUAAUCGCGCAUC